This is a long non-coding RNA of Strongylocentrotus purpuratus (purple sea urchin), 140 nucleotides long. RefSeq lists it as uncharacterized. The record is from RefSeq and is a predicted model, not a curated record. Lineage: Eukaryota; Metazoa; Echinodermata; Echinoidea; Camarodonta; Strongylocentrotidae. The transcript has 2 exons.
GGAAUACGCUCUGUUGUACCGACACUCUUCUUGAGAUCUGACGCUAAGUUUGAGCCCACAAAUGGCAGAUUUUCAAAGACUGUCAACAAGGGGGAUGUGAACGUUACGGUUGAUUUUACUGAGGUUACUCCUAGUGGGAC